RNAcentral lists this long non-coding RNA (804 nucleotides) under Bos taurus (domestic cattle). RNAcentral describes it as "long non-coding RNA NONBTAT006275". The record is from RNAcentral. Lineage: Eukaryota; Metazoa; Chordata; Mammalia; Artiodactyla; Bovidae.
UGCAAGGUAAGUUUGCCCUCAUCUCUCUCUACAGUACUUUCUGAAUGAGUGGGAUAGGGACAUGGAUAUCACUUGGUCCUCAAGCAUAUAGUAAAAAAAAAUUAACAGUGUAAGUCUUUGAGAAAAUAGGAAAGAUUAAAUUUUAGAGUACUUCCUUCUGCUUAACCCAAUAGGAUCCAAAAUAUCCAGUUAAUAUUCAAGCACAUCCACCUAUUUUACACUCACAAGUGGAAAAAGAAGCUCCUGAAGCUAUUGUAGACAAUUUCUGGUAGUCCGUUUAACACAUUCAACCCAUACAAUCACUUUUACAGUAUCCUUAUUUAUUAUACUCAUAGAUUUUUUGUGAAUGUAGGUAAAGUUCUCUCCAUCCUUAAAAUUGUGGAAUUCCAAAAUUGAUUUCAUGUGAUUUUGUAGAGUUUAGGACUAGUGCUGAGUAUAUGUGGAGGAUUUCUAUUCCUGUGUGAUAUAUUAUUAUUAAUGCAUGUGGUAUCAUGCUUGUCUUUGAAUAUCUAUAGUUGCUAAAUUGUGAAGUCAUAUGGAGCUUUUGAAUUAUUUUUGACCUCUUACUGCUACUUUGUAUGCUAUAUUCAAACCCAGAAAAAAACCCCUAUAUUCCCAAGCCAUAAAAUUACCAAAAGAUUCACAUCCUAAAACGUUGCUCAGCAAAAGUUCAUAUGAUCUUCCAAGUUUUACCAUAAUAUCUUUUACUUGAAAGUCAAUAAUAUACAUGGAAUUGAUACUUUAAGGAAAGAAUAGGGAAAGAAGGAAAGAGUAGAAAACUAAGACAUUGAUCUGAUAAUACAC